GACGAACGCUGGCGGCGUGCUUAACACAUGCAAGUCGAACGGAAAGGCCCUACCUUGGUGGGGUGCUCGAGUGGCGAACGGGUGAGUAACACGUGAGUAACCUGCCCCUGACUUUGGGAUAACCUCUGGAAACUGGGGCUAAUACUGGAUACGAGCUGCUGCCGCAUGGGGGGGGUCGGAAAGGUUCGGCGGUUGGGGAUGGACUCGCGGCCUAUCAGCUUGUUGGUGGGGUAGUGGCUUACCAAGGCUAUGACGGGUAGCCGGCCUGAGAGGGCGACCGGCCACACUGGGACUGAGAUACGGCCCAGACUCCUACGGGAGGCAGCAGUGGGGAAUAUUGCACAAUGGGCGGAAGCCUGAUGCAGCAACGCCGCGUGCGGGAUGACGGCCUUCGGGUUGUAAACCUCUUUCGCCUGUGACGAAGCGUGAGUGACGGUAAUGGGUAAAGAAGCACCGGCUAACUACGUG
Molecule: ribosomal RNA, 468 nt
Filed under: uncultured bacterium
Lineage: Bacteria
Description: partial 16S ribosomal RNA
Rfam family: Bacterial small subunit ribosomal RNA
Source: RNAcentral